Non-coding RNA from Clarias gariepinus (North African catfish), 421 nucleotides. The record is from the annotation of a RefSeq genome assembly. Lineage: Eukaryota; Metazoa; Chordata; Actinopteri; Siluriformes; Clariidae.
AUGUACAUUGUUAUAUUCAUGUGUCUUUGGCCUUUACUGGGUGACUCCAUGGCAGAUUCAAUAGAGCCACUUCUCACUUAUAAAGUUGUAGAUGAAGGUGAAAAUGUUACCUUGUCCUGCAGCUACAAAAAGAGCAAGAACUCUAGCAAGAACUCUAUACUGGUACAAUCAGAAAAAAUCAGCACCUGAGUACCUUCUUUUCAUCACUACAAGUGGGAGUUUUAGUCCCUCUGACCCUCGUCUAUCAGCUAAAGUUGAUGAUAAAAAUAAACAAGUGGAUCUGCUCAUCUUCUCUGCUGCUGUAUCAGACUCUGCACUGUAUUACUGUGCUUUGGAGCCCACAGUUGUUCAGAAAGAUGAAGCUCAGGCAGAACUUGAGAUGGCCCUGUUUGUCCUCAGGGAGGAAGAAGACUGUCUUUAG